Molecule: long non-coding RNA, 1345 nt
Filed under: Gallus gallus (chicken)
Lineage: Eukaryota; Metazoa; Chordata; Aves; Galliformes; Phasianidae
Description: lncRNA (ENSGALG00010025269.1)
Source: RNAcentral
CUGAGGAAACAAUUCUGAAGUUUCACAUUCCCUGGCUAUUUGUUCCCUUAUUCACAAGCAGAAUCACUGGGCUGUCUGCAGAGCCCAUAUAUGCUACUACAAAGUUUCAGCAUGCAACAGUCCUAAAAACAUAAUGUCCACAGGGAGUGAACACUGCAUUUCGACUGUAUACAGCCUGACUAGGACCACAGACUAGAGAAGGAAGAGUGUCUCAAGGAGCUCAAGUGUGCUGCAGAGCUCAUCAUCUGCAAAAUAGAUCACUCAUCAUCUGCAAAGAACUUGGAGAACCUGAAGCGACAUACACAGGAAAAUUGCCAGUCCUCUGUUCAGUAUUCAUGUGUUUCCCAAGCAACUACCUACUGACAAGCAAUUACAUCCAAUUUCUUAAUAGCAGAAAGCGGGAGGACUAUUCCUGCAUGAAAAAGCCCAGGAUCAUCUGGAGGCUUCGUAAGACCCUUGAAGUCACUUGACCUCCUACUUUGCUGUGGCUCACCUUCCACAACUCACAGAAAUGAAUGUACUUCAGCAAAGAUUAUUAUUCAUUCCUUCAAACCCACCUCCACUUCUAUUUUGCUUGCUGUGCUGACAACAUACAGAUCUCUACAAAGCUACUAUUCUGGCCAUUGAGCAUGAAGUUGCUGCACUUAUGAACUCAAAAACCAUCAAUCAGUUUGAGAACCUAGACGUUCAAAGCAUAAAUGGGAUUCUGGAUAUGCAAAUGAAGAACAAUAACAAGUUGAUUAGUUAAUUAAUAUUUCUUCACAGGAUAAGUUGAGUACAGAAUGUGUUAGACAAAAAUCAUUUUGGAGAAAGGCAGGGUAUAGAUAAAGAUUUCUUCAUACUGAGCAGGAAAAGAAAACAUUUUCAACAGUAUAAAGUCAACAUUAAAACAAUAUUUUAAUAAAAUCAUAGAAUGGUUUGAAUUGGAAUGAAACCAAGAUUAUCUAAUUCCAACUCCCCUGCCACGGACAGGGACACCUUUCUGCAGAAUUUACUUCCAAAAACAGGUUUUCACAGUUGCCAAAAAUAAAAAGUACACUCUAUGGCUAUAGAAGAAACACUGUGUGUUCAGCCUGCUCUGCCAACUAAGCUCAUACUCCAAACCUUCAAGGGCCUCAGAAAAUGAACAUAGCAAAUACAACUACUUACGUUUGUCACAGGCAAAAAAAGUGGCAUGAUGACCAACAGUUGGUGUGAACGGUCAAUAGCUGGAAGUCACUUUAACUCGCUUUGCUACAGGUAUCAGAUAUAAUAAAGAUCUCGGUUCUAUAAACACAUAGAAGGGCCCUGGAAUUUCCAUAUCAGUCAUAAAUGAAGCCCGAUGAGAAUUAUCACAAAAACAGAG